Molecule: ribosomal RNA, 467 nt
Filed under: uncultured bacterium
Lineage: Bacteria
Description: partial 16S ribosomal RNA
Rfam family: Bacterial small subunit ribosomal RNA
Source: RNAcentral
GACGAACGCUGGCGGCGUGCUUAACACAUGCAAGUCGAACGGAAAGGCCCUGCUUUUGUGGGGUGCUCGAGUGGCGAACGGGUGAGUAACACGUGAGUAACCUGCCCUUGACUUUGGGAUAACUUCAGGAAACUGGGGCUAAUACCGGAUAGGAGCUCCUGCUGCAUGGUGGGGGUUGGAAAGUUUCGGCGGUUGGGGAUGGACUCGCGGCUUAUCAGCUUGUUGGUGGGGUAGUGGCUUACCAAGGCUUUGACGGGUAGCCGGCCUGAGAGGGUGACCGGCCACAUUGGGACUGAGAUACGGCCCAGACUCCUACGGGAGGCAGCAGUGGGGAAUAUUGCACAAUGGGCGGAACCCUGAUGCAGCAACGCCGCGUGCGGGAUGACGGCCUUCGGGUUGUAAACCGCUUUCGCCUGUGACGAAGCGUGAGUGACGGUAAUGGGGAAAGAAGCACCGGCUAACUACGU